RNAcentral lists this ribosomal RNA (465 nucleotides) under uncultured bacterium. RNAcentral's name for it is "partial 16S ribosomal RNA". It matches the Rfam family "Bacterial small subunit ribosomal RNA", at positions 28 to 507 of the family's 1533-position model. The record is from RNAcentral.
GACGAACGCUGGCGGCGUGCUUAACACAUGCAAGUCGAACGGAAAGGCCCUGCUUGCAGGGUACUCGAGUGGCGAACGGGUGAGUAACACGUGGGUGAUCUGCCCUGCACUUCGGGAUAAGCCUGGGAAACUGGGUCUAAUACCGGAUAGGAGCCAUUUUUAGUGUGAUGGUUGGAAAGUUUUUUCGGUGUAGGAUGAGCUCGCGGCCUGUCAGCUUGUUGGUGGGGUAAUGGCCUACCAAGGCGGCGACGGGUAGCCGGCCUGAGAGGGUGGACGGCCACAUUGGGACUGAGAUACGGCCCAGACUCCUACGGGAGGCAGCAGUGGGGAAUAUUGCACAAUGGGCGCAAGCCUGAUGCAGCGACGCCGCGUGGGGGAUGACGGCCUUCGGGUUGUAAACUCCUUUCGCUAGGGACGAAGCUUUUUGUGACGGUACCUAGAUAAGAAGCACCGGCUAACUACGUG